UUUUACUCCAGAGGACAACAGCUGAAUCACGGCUGCGACAGUUGGAGGGAUGGCCAUGGAAAUGCUCUGCUUUUGGAAGAGAGUUUCCUGCAUCUUCAGCCUGCCAGUCUUGGGCAGUUUCAGAGCCAUCAAUAUACAGCUCGGGACAUCCAGAAAUGAAAGCCAUCAACAACCAGCAUCUGUGCAGAUCAGUUUUGGCAUCUGAAGUCUUGCAGGUACUACACCUUGCUUAUAAUGAACUAAAGACAACCUACAGAUAAAACAAUGAGGUUCCUGAAAAUGUUGUCCAUUGCUGAUAUCUGAUCUUCAUCUGAAGGAAACAUAUUUUCUCCCAGAUCUGCAAGUACAAUCCCCAUUUUAAAGAGUCAUUAACAAAACAACUCCAUUAGUGCUAGAUAAGAAAGGUGAGAACAAUUGGUUGGUAGAUAGAAAGCAGUGGUAGUCAAGUUUCACAAGAUUUAAGCAGAGAAGAAAAGCAAGGCAAAUAAAUCAAUUAUUCAAAUACUGGAUAUUCAGAUCUGAUUUGGCAACACUUUUAAACAGAUAGUUAAAGUAUAGAAGGACUUCCCCUCUCAUCAUUAGAACUAAUUACACUCCUCAUAGCCAGACAAAUUCAUCUUUAAAAGAGAAAUUAAAUACUGUACAUGUCCAAAGUAUAAUUUUUCAAAAAUUGUCUAAAAGGCUUAAAAAAAGAUCUGAGUAUCUUCAGUGCUUUGUUACCAAUUUUUACAUGUUUAUUUUCGAUGUUACAUUUUCUUCUCUUGAUCUUUUAGACAAGUGGUAUCAGUACUGAAAGACCCUUCAGUGAGAAGCCUUUGAAGCUCCCUUCUCAGAAUCAAGGUAGAUGUCUGCCUCCCCAGUUGCUGAUUUUACUAGACACAGAUUGUUCUGUUCUGCAGAGCUUCACCUCAGCACCACUGUAUGCCUAAAAUGGGUCUUGAAUUUGCAGAUUAUUUUGUCACCAAUUAAACCCCAAAGUCUGUAAUUGUGAGGUGUGUAAAUUUUCUUUCUUUCACAACUUCUAUUCCUUCACAUCUUAGUGUAAUACUUUAGUGACAGUUUCCUUUUACAGGUCAGUGAACUGUUUGUAAUUCCUUUCAUAAAUGGUCUUUUCUGCCAUUUCUGUGGGAUAUACAAGUCUGACUUACCUAGGUUCUGUUAAAACACUGGGUCUCUCAUGACCAAGCCUGAGCAGCAAGGUGUGUCACUCUAUGUUCCUUCAAGGAAUUUAGUUUCUUGUUAAUGUGUAUAACCAUGUAAUUUUGGUAAAUGAUUAUAACACAACUUAAAACUGUUUCAAGGUGUGAUCCUGCAAAGCAUUAGUACAGUGAGUCCCAGUCACUCUUGCCUGUGUGUGUCCUAAGGUAUGAACUGGUUAUGGAGAACUGUACUUAAAAGGCUGGGAGAGAUUGAGGGGAGAGCAGCAUAUAAGGAGAGAAAAGAUGAAGAGUAAAAGCAGAAAAGUUCAAAAUGAUUGUCAAUUUUGUUUUUAAGCCCACAAACUUUGUGUUAUUUUGUAUAGAAGAUUUGUGGAAAAUAUUUUUAACAGGCAGGAACAAGACAAUAGACAUAGGAGGGGGUGAACAUGACCCUCCAAGUCAAGCAACCAAAAGUUAAUGAAAUUACCAAGUAUCAAAUGUAGCACAGAGAGACUAAUUCAAUCAGAGAGGCCAAAGGGAUAAUUCUUGGAGACAAAGCAUCACAACGCGGAAAUGCAGCCUAAUCAACUGCUUUAUCAAAAGAAAAAGGAAACAAUUUCCAAUCCUUAACUAAAAUCCCCAGUUGGUUCUUCAUCUUUUCAGGGUUCUGGUUUUUGUUUGCAGCGUUUGUUCCAUCUCACAUUUGUUUCACUGCUUCUGUUCUCUGCACAAAGCUGUUUCACUGGCUCCUGACUCUUCGCUUCUAUCAAACGAGCCGCCUCUGCUCUUGGUUUAAGAAACCAGCUUCAUCAUGAAAGAGAGCAUGUAGAGGGAAAUAUUCAUUAUGUUUAAUGUCCAAGCCUACUUCCCAUAAUUACGUAGAAUAGAGCAAGAAUACCCAGAGUCACCUUGUGUCUGCAGGAUUUUUCAGAGCAGGUAUUUGCUUCAUCUGAUGGAAAGCAGCUGCUCCCCGAUCUCAACUGAACCUCCCAUGUAACCAGGACCCUUUGCAGGUAGAGUAACACACCCAGACUUCGCCAGGUACAAGCAAGGGAGAGGCUUUCGGAAAGCUACUCAGACUUCUGUUUUCAUCUAAGCAAGUGGUGUUGUUAUGACAGAUAAAAUGAGCUGGCACAAAGGAAAGAAGGACCUCAUGGAAGGAAGCGCAGGAGAUGGGAAGCACGGCCGAAAAAAGCGAGAGCGGCUAUUUAAGAAGAGAUUUUCUGGACUGAGCCUUUUCUCUGGGUCUCCUAAGAAUAAAUUCCCUCAGGGAAGAAGUCAGCUUUUUGAAGACAAGAGGAGAUGUUUACACAGGAAAGGCUCCAAGAAGCUGAAGCCAGCACGGGAGGAAAUCUGUUCUUUGAGGCAGCCACACUCCGGGAAAAUGUGUCCGAAAUGCGAGAUCCUCAGCUGCCGGAAGUGCGAGACCCUGCACUCGGAGAGCGGCUUCAUUGCCCACAGCCUGCUCGACCACUAUGACAGGGGAGGAGCCACAGCCCACCUGUGACUGCAGAGGGGUGAUUAAAGAUCUGAUGGGGGUACCCUGCCAGUACCCAACCACAUCCCAAACGCUAAAGCUUGGAUCCCUCAGGCUCACUGGGUCUCCGGCCUGUGCAGCAUCAGCAAUUCCAGCCAUACUGUAGCUCAUACUAUACACAGCAGAUGCACAUGCAGUAAUUUAACCAGCAUGCACCCUGCAAGCAAAGAUCUGUAAGCUAAAAGUUUCUCAGCUACUAAGGACAAGGAAUUGUUUCAGAAAUAAUCUCCAGUUUUCUUUGUUCUCUCCAGGAAACAAGAUUAUCCCACUGAGCUGCAAAGAAGGACGUGACUAUUGCAUGCAGAACACUGGGUACAUUACUCUUACUUGCAAUGCCUUGGUAUGUUUCAGUAUUGUUUGUGGUCUGGAAUAUUAAACAUUUUAUUUUUAAAUUAACUAACUUGGGUAUGCACUUGAUGGGGGAAGGAGGCUUUCUAAAGGCCAUGAGGAUUGCAGAUCACAUCCAAACACCCUGCUAGAAUUUCUGACCUCUCACAGGCUUUCAACACCUCUCCUAUGAUUCAGCAUCUUGCCUUAAAAGAAGCAACAAGGAUCACAACUCUCAAAGUACUUAAGAU
RNA transcript from Manacus vitellinus (golden-collared manakin), 3254 nucleotides. RefSeq lists it as uncharacterized. The record is from RefSeq and is a predicted model, not a curated record. The transcript has 3 exons. NCBI's taxonomy places the organism in Eukaryota, Metazoa, Chordata, Aves, Passeriformes, Pipridae.